Vidua chalybeata is the source of this 450-nucleotide long non-coding RNA. RefSeq lists it as uncharacterized. The record is from RefSeq and is a predicted model, not a curated record. NCBI's taxonomy places the organism in Eukaryota, Metazoa, Chordata, Aves, Passeriformes, Viduidae. The transcript has 3 exons.
AACGGACAGGGGGGUGGCCACAAGACUGACAUGGGGAUGCUCCAAUAAUAAGUGACCCGGAGCGGACCACUGCGCAGGGGAAAUGGGGGUACACAGAACCAGAUGAAGUCAAAGCACAUUACUUUCCAGCUUCAGCAAACUACCACAGUAGAACUCAGAUCUCGACUGACAAUUUGACCUUGGUGCCUGCUGUUUUUCUGAACACAACAAUUUCCAAAAUAUCCUGUCCUAUAAGCUUUCCAACCAACUUCACUAUGUAGGUGGCCCUAUCAGAGCUGUGGGAUGGGAGUACAGCUCUCCUAAAGCUCUGUGAUAUGCUGGUUUUUGUUGCCCCACAAACAUCAAGAGAUGUAAAGCAGUCAGCUGAUAUGCAGAGAAAGAAUAUUUGGAAAAAUUGCUAAAGUUAAUAUUUACUGAAAUGGGGAUCUAAUAAAAAUAAUAAAAAACUCA